RNAcentral lists this ribosomal RNA (427 nucleotides) under uncultured bacterium. Its description in RNAcentral is "partial 16S ribosomal RNA". It matches the Rfam family "Bacterial small subunit ribosomal RNA", at positions 355 to 774 of the family's 1533-position model. The record is from RNAcentral.
UAGGGAAUCUUCGGCAAUGGACGAAAGUCUGACCGAGCAACGCCGCGUGAGUGAAGAAGGUUUUCGGAUCGUAAAACUCUGUUGGUAGAGAAGAACGUUGGUGAGAGUGGAAAGCUCAUCAAGUGACGGUAACUACCCAGAAAGGGACGGCUAACUACGUGCCAGCAGCCGCGGUAAUACGUAGGUCCCGAGCGUUGUCCGGAUUUAUUGGGCGUAAAGCGAGCGCAGGUGGUUUAUUAAGUCUGGUGUAAAAGGCAGUGGCUCAACCAUUGUAUGCAUUGGAAACUUGUAGACUUGAGUGCAGGAGAGGAGAGUGGAAUUCCAUGUGUAGCGGUGAAAUGCGUAGAUAUAUGGAGGAACACCGGUGGCGAAAGCGUCUCUCUGGCCUGUAACUGACACUGAGGCUCGAAAGCGUGGGGAGCAAACA